CAGCAGCCGCGGGAACACGAAGGGUGCAAGCGUUAAUCGGAAUUACUGGGCGUAAAGCGUGCGUAGGCGGUUUGUUAAGUCUGCUGUGAAAUCCCCGGGCUCAACCUGGGAAUGGCAGUGGAUACUGGCAAGCUAGAGUGUGUCAGAGGAUGGUGGAAUUCCCGGUGUAGCGGUGAAAUGCGUAGAGAUCGGGAGGAACAUCAGUGGCGAAGGCGGCCAUCUGGGACAACACUGACGCUGAGGUGCGAAAGCGUGGGGAGCAAACAGGAUUAGAUACCCCAGUAGUCCCUGUCUCUUAUAA
This 301-nucleotide ribosomal RNA is filed under the name uncultured bacterium. RNAcentral's name for it is "partial 16S ribosomal RNA". It matches the Rfam family "Bacterial small subunit ribosomal RNA", at positions 509 to 809 of the family's 1533-position model. The record is from RNAcentral.